CCUACACUACGUCACUUCCUGUGGUGCGUGCCUCAGGUCCCUGACCGGAGAGAUGUUUGGUGGGCAGAAACGCUGCUCCACCACAAAGGAUGAGAACGUGUCCUCGUGUCUCCACCUUUGCUCAUGCUGUGUGCAGAAUGUUAGAACGUCUCCAGUUCCGCUCACGUGGACCCUGAAUCUUGCAGGUCUGAGGGUGCCAGCAUAUGGACAGUCCCCAGGGACAGAGGGAAGGUCCUUCUCUCCUAAGCUCUCCCUUGGGCCUUGUUCCUAUCUGAAGCUUCACCCAGAAGACCACUGGCCUCUGGAUAUGGAUCUGGAAGUACCCUGCCUGGUCUUAACUUUUAGAUAGUCCCCUUGGGCAACGCAUGGAAGCGACAGUUUCUUAGAAUCCAGAGUCGGGACACAAGCCAUGAGGAUUGAAGGCACGAAUGGAGGAAGACACGGAGGAGGAGACCAGUGAUAUUUUCCCUGCUCCAAGCUCUGGUGCCUAUCCACCAUGCUGUCCACCUCGGCCAACAUCCUGACUUGCUGAAGACAUCCGGGAAGACUUCCAGAAACCUGGCCAGAGCAGCCUUUGACGGCGGCAAGGCGAAAGCUGCACCCACUCGUGAAAUAAAUGGACCCGGGCCCACGGCCCUUUGUGGUAGUGUCUUGGCAGCUGAACAAAGGUGGCAGCAUUUCUACAUCCAGUCUGUAAAGCCUCAGAAGUUGCGGGCUCCAAGAUUUUCCCCCACGAGAAGCCCAUGUCGACUAUAAUGAGUGCAUUUUCGAUGUUGUGCUGAAAGCUGGCAACGGAUUAAAGAAGUCUAUGUCCAAGACAAAUGUUUCCUUACAAACCUGAAGAAUGAAGUGGCUUUCAUAAUCAAUUUUAAGAUCAAAUGCCUGGGCUGAAGUACCUGGUUCUGGUUGGCUAUUUAAUUGGGGACAAUUAAUUUACCUCUGUGCGCUUGCUUUCUUCACUGAGAAACGGACGAGAUAAUGAAGGUGCUUUGUCAGCUCUGAAAUAUGGUGUAAAUAUUAACAAACACUGCCCGGACAGCUUCCCUGUGCCUGAUGAAUCACUUCACUUCACGCAGCGCUAAGAAGUGGCCAACCCCCAGAAGAAAUGAAAAUAAACCAGACCCAGCUCAUUUAUUACAGAGGGGUCGAUCUCCAGAAGAAGUCUCUUCCAACCCAAACCCCUACUGAACUUACUGGAGUCUAUCAAAGAAGGCAGAAGAAACUGCAUGCGAAUUUGAAUGGAGGAUCUGUUCCCAUCUGCUGUACAGAGCCAUCAGCCCAUAGUAGGAUUCAACUGUGUGACUUCCCCCCAGAAGUGAGAGUAAAUGCCAGGAACAAAAAUUCCUGAAAUUAGAUGUUAAUUCUCGAAUACAUUUCUUAUGACAUUUUGCAAGCUGUCCAGAUAGACUUCUUCAAACUACACAAGGCUUUUGUAGACACUUUUCCUUCGCCAUAAUUUUAAUAAAUCUAAUCUACUGAAGUUGGUUAUUUAAAAGUACAGUUGCGGAUGGGGGUGGGCUGGAGAAGUGGUUAGGUGGUUAAGAGAGUUCAGUGUUCUCGUAGAAGACAGGGCAGGCAGUUCCCAGCACCCACGUCUGGCAGCUCACAACAAUCUGUUAACUCCGGCUUCAGGGCCUCCAACCUGUGCUCACAAACACACAUACCCCCCCAUACAUAUAUACAAUAUUCAAAUACAAAUUAAUCUUUAAGAAAUAAAAUACAGUUGUGGUCCCGUGGGUCAACUCUAGGCUGUAAGUUGUGUGGGUUAGUGAACUUGGUUACUGCCAAUACUUGGCUGAGAAGUCUGGCAUAUUUGUAAUAUAGAUAGCCACCACCGUCACCAUUUUCCAAUUAAUUUUUGUUUUUUGAGACAGGGUUUCCCCUUGUAACCUUGACUGUCCUGUGGACCAGGCUGGCCUUGAACCUAAGAGAUCUGCCUGCCUCUGCCUCCCAAAUGCUGAGAUUAAAGGUGUGUGCCACCACUGCCCAGCUAAUUACCUUAUCUUAUAAAGUAGAAAUUCGCCACCAAAGCUACACAGACUAUGAAAAUCCUUUUUCUGUUUACUGAAAAGGGUUUUUUUUUUUUUUUUUUUUUUUUUUUUUUUUUUGAGGCAGGGUUAAUCUGUAGCUUUGGAGCCUGUCCUGGAACUAGCUCUCUGUAGACCAGGUUGGGCUAGAACUCAAAGAUCCGCGUGCCUCUGUCUCCCGAGUGCUGGGAUUAAAGAUGUGCGCCACCACCGCCCGGCGGGUUCUCACUAUUGUAACCUUGGCUGGUCUGAAACUCACAGCAAUUCUCCUGCCUGAGAUCCUCAUAUAGCACACCUGGCAUGAAAGAUCCUUUUUAACAAACUAGGGCUUUACCAGGGUGCAGCUCUGGCAGAAUGCUUGCCUGGCACCCUUACACCUUCCACAAAGCCCCAAGCUAGAGGAUACCCAAACACAAAAGAUGGCACCUUAUACGCUUCUGGCUACAUGGCUGCAGUAGACUGAAACAGGUCCUAUUUUGUAGUUACUGCUGUCUAAGGGAAUCUAUUUGCUCAUCCCUUCCACCUAGGCUAGCCAAGUGACUUGCUUCGACAAUAUGGGGUACAAGUGAUACCCCUGAGUUUCUGAGUCAGGCUUUGAAAGUGCCCUUGGUACUCCAGGACCACAACGACAUUAAGAUAAGACCACAUGGAGAGACCAACCAUCCCACCUAGACACCAACAAAUUUUCAAACAAAAGACAGAAAGCCCACACGACCUUUGCAAAGAAAUUGUUUAACCAAUCUCAAAAGUGUGAACAGUGAAAUGCUUUCUUUAAGCCAUUGGGUUUGAGCAGCAACAGGCAUUGAAAAUAAAUCAUCUAAUCCUUACAGCACCGCCUUCUGGUGGAGGAGACAGACCUUGGCUGGGACAGCCUGCCAGGCACAACAACUCGAAACAAAUGACAGGCCAGGGCCGAUCGGUCAGUUCUCUGUUAGAAACAAACACUGUGCAUAAUGCCAAUAACAUAAAGUCGUUUCGUCUUCUAUAACCUGCAUAGGCAACGUGUCCUGAUUUGAUACACCACAGGGCUUGACUCAGCGCUUCAGCAAAUGUAUCUGACAAAUGCAUUUUCCUACACCUUAAGCCACAUACGAAA
This is a long non-coding RNA of Alexandromys fortis (reed vole), 3123 nucleotides long. RefSeq lists it as uncharacterized. The record is from RefSeq and is a predicted model, not a curated record. The transcript has 3 exons. NCBI's taxonomy places the organism in Eukaryota, Metazoa, Chordata, Mammalia, Rodentia, Cricetidae.